UGCAGCUGGCUCAGUUGAAGCUGGGAGUGAUAAAAGAAGGGGGGAAAGCCGGAAAUUGCAAUUACCAACGAGGUUCUAGAAAGAAAUAGGGACUUGCCAUACAAGAUUAGAACAUUCCAGUGUUUGCUUCUGCCCUGUUUCUCCUUGUAGAACUUAUCUCACUGCCUCAGGACUUUUUCAAUUUAUUUCCCCAAACUGGAUGCUGGUCUGUGAGAUUUCCUCAAUCUGGGUGACAGAUGAAGGUCGACCUUUGAUCAACACCCAUGGAAGGAGAGGCUCCUCUUAAGGAUGAACAGAAGCAGCUACAAGCAGGAGCCAACCAAAAAGAGGAUGAUGCAAAUGAUUAUUUUUUUCCCCUUAUACAGGCCCUUCGGAAUCUAGAAGCAGAUGAGGGAAAAGAGGAGGAAGUAAGACUCCAAGGGACAUUGCCAGAAAGAGGGGAGGAUGAAAAGGAGAACUGUUGGGAUGGAAAUGAAUCGCUGAGGCAGAAUCGGGAAGACCAGAGGAGAGACAGAUCUCAAAGAUAUCCGAGCGGCGUUGCCUCUGAAGACGAAAUGGGAAAAACAAC
This 568-nucleotide long non-coding RNA is filed under the name Pogona vitticeps (central bearded dragon). Its description in RNAcentral is "lncRNA (ENSPVIG00000003896.1)". Lineage: Eukaryota; Metazoa; Chordata; Lepidosauria; Squamata; Agamidae. The record is from RNAcentral.